RNAcentral lists this ribosomal RNA (200 nucleotides) under uncultured bacterium. Its description in RNAcentral is "partial 16S ribosomal RNA". It matches the Rfam family "Bacterial small subunit ribosomal RNA", at positions 8 to 225 of the family's 1533-position model. The record is from RNAcentral.
AGAGUUUGAUCCUGGCUCAGAAUCAACGCUGGCGCGCGCCUAACACAUGCAAGUCGAACGAGAAAGUCCGCAAGGAUGAGUACAGUGGCGUACGGGUGAGUAACACGUGGAUAAUCUACCCUCUUGUGGGGAAUACCGUUGGGAAAUCGACGACAAUACCGCAUAAGCUCGAGAGAGGAAAGCAGCAAUGCGCAGGAGGA